This 362-nucleotide ribosomal RNA is filed under the name Patelloida sp. ESU 1. RNAcentral's name for it is "partial 12S ribosomal RNA". The record is from RNAcentral. Lineage: Eukaryota; Metazoa; Mollusca; Gastropoda; Lottiidae.
UUGGGAGGUAAAAUUAAAAUGCCUUGGUAGUACGAGCUUUUGCUUAAAAUCAAAUGAGCCUGGCGGCAUUCAGAUUAAUCAGGGGAACCUGCUUUCUUAAUACGAUGAUCCACGAAAAUCUUACCUGUUGUUAUAUUUGCCUACCGUCGUAUAGCUGAUAUUGUUGUAGAAAUUGGCGAAAGGGUUUCUGUUUGUGGUGAAUGGUUAGCCAGUAUUGCAGAUAAAGGUGCAGUUAUUGACAGGGGAAUUGUUGGUUAUAAUUUUUUAUUUAUAGUGAAUUGGCUUUUGAAAAAGAGUUAUGAAAGAAGACUUGAAAGUAACUGGCUUAUAGUAAGAGCGAGUGAAUAGAUAACUGGGUGUGU